GGCGGCUUGGCCAAAAGGUAAGGCAACGGCUUGCAAAACCGUCAAAGGCGGUUCAAUUCCGCCAGCCGCCUCCA
Molecule: transfer RNA, 74 nt
Filed under: Desulfomonile tiedjei
Lineage: Bacteria; Pseudomonadati; Thermodesulfobacteriota; Desulfomonilia; Desulfomonilales; Desulfomonilaceae
Description: tRNA-Cys
Rfam family: tRNA
About the family: Transfer RNA (tRNA) molecules are approximately 80 nucleotides in length.
Source: RNAcentral